Molecule: RNA transcript, 2701 nt
Organism: Propithecus coquereli (Coquerel's sifaka)
Lineage: Eukaryota; Metazoa; Chordata; Mammalia; Primates; Indriidae
Gene: CLDN14
Gene name: claudin 14
Exons: 2
Source: RefSeq, a predicted model, not a curated record
CACAGUUGUUGUGGCCGGGUGGUCAGGGAGCAGGAGGGGAUGAGCUGUGAGUUUCUAGUGAUCGACAGGGAUUGGGCAGCUGGUUGGGGAAGCCGUGGACGAGGACGCAGGGAAGUAAGUGUGAACAGCCAACAGGCCCGGGAGCUUGGGCAGGCGCUGGCCGGACUGUGACAGCCUUCAGCACCAGGCUGGGGACAGAAGGCUUGAUCCUGCCAGCCGCGGAGAGUCACUGGAGGGCGUUUUAGGGAGAUGACCGUGUGCAGAGGUACCAUGUACUCUUUUUCCAAAGUGCAGACAUGACAUUUCUGGUUGGUCUUGAAUGUCUGCCUCUGCCGAGCGGCCUCAUCUCGUCCACGGGCGAAUUACCUUCCAACCAAAUAGCCCGUGUGCCCACGCAGGCCACUGUCAAAGAGCACUGUAAUUGUCUGGACAAUUUCCUCUCAAGUGCUCUGGGCUUGAGGCUUCCAGUCGGUGGAAGAGGGAAGACAGAAGGGCGACAGCGGCCCUGCUGGGUCCCUGGUGCACACGGGAGUCGGCGCCCAGCCAGGCUCCAGAGCAGCCCGGGCUGGUGAGGGACCUGGCCGGGCAGAUGGGACGCGAGGUGUUCUGCAUCGUACUCCUCCCGGGGAGCGGCCCAAUGUCCUCCAGCCUCCUGGAACCUGCCAUCGACUGAUCCCACCACCUGAGCUCCGUCCUUGCCCCCUUUGUGUCCUCAUUUCUCUCCUUCCCAGCUUUGCAUUCACUCCUUUGUGCAAAUGCUCCUCUCCCUUGCCCCCUCUGCCUUCAUUUUCCUUUAGAAAAACCCCCACUGGGUCCAGUCCAGCCCUCUGUCCCCUGGGGACCCGUUCAGAGCAGCCGCCCCCACUGGAGAAGGCUGUGUGGCCAGGUGGUGUCGGGGAACUGGCAGGACCACUUGCCCAUAUGGCACUGGGCGCUGACCAGCCCCGGCCCACUUGCCCUUGUCUGGUCCUGCCCUCGUUCUCCUGGAUGACCGUGGCCGGCUCCCCUGUGCUCAAACCUCCAGCACCUCCUCCCCAUCUUCCUUCUCGAGACGUCAUCUUGCUUCCUAUUUCUCUGAGAAAAUUGAGCAAGCUGAGAACAUCCACUAAUGCCCACGUCCCAGGCCCCUGCAGCCACCUGCCACCAUUCUGAAUUGAGCUGUGUGCCCUCCAGUCUGGGCUGGUCUCGCCACGUGGGCACCAGGCCCCUGCUGCCCUACACAGGGACAUCUCUUCAACAUCGUCAAGGCUUCCCUUCUCACCAGAUCAUUUCCGAAGGCAUACAAACAUGCUUCAAGGUCACCUUCAAAACAACAACAAAACAAAACACAUCCACUGGCAGAGGGUCCUAACCAUUUUGGUUUUGUUUUUUGUUGUUGAUGUCAUUGUUUGGAGGGGUUAUUUGUUCUGCCUUGGAUUCCUUUGGCAAAUCUGGUGAAAUCUGUGUAUCUCUUCUCAACACAAUGCUUCAAAUGUAUAAAACAAUAUACAGGAUAAUAAAGGAAGCCCGUUUGGUGAAAUGCAGUCACCAAACUAUUUUAAAGCAAUUCUGUCCAUAGGAAUGCGUGGGCUUCCAUAGUAACGCGUCACAUGACGAGAUCUAGCAGGGGUCUUAUAGCCACCAUUUGAAAUAGUGACAAUGGCAAAUGCUCUUUCCGGGUAUCUGCAGCACUUGCAAUGUGAUGCAAACCGUCGGUGAUUUCUAUUGCUGAUUAAGUCACGGGCACCAAUCAAACUGCUGGAGGUGGCUGCCUGUGCUCGUGGUUGAGGAAAUGCUAGUUGUCGGUGAAAUAAAAAAUGUUACUUUUUUCCUAUCUGAGUUGACAGAUACCCUGAAUUCAGUGGGCCCUGGGCCCUGUCCUACAACUGUUGCCUCAUUGCCUACUUCCCUUUGAUGGUCCAAGUCCUUGAAAGAUUCCCUGGGCUCAUUCUCUCCCGUCCCUCUGUCCCUAUUCUCUCUUGAGCCCACUCCAGUCACUCCACCAAAACUGCACUCGUCCAAGUCUCCGGUUUCCUUCAUGUGGCUAUAUCAAUGACCAUUGCUCAAUGCUGGGUGACUUGAUUUAUCUGAUCACUUGCCCUCUCCAACGUGGAGCCCCGUCCUCACUCACCAGCCUCCUCUGGGUUGAUUCCUAGCUCCUGGCCACGCCUUAUACCCCACGGCUGCCUCCUCCUCAGGCCCCAUCUGCGGUUCGGGAGGGCUCCUGGGUCAGCCCUCCGGCCCCUGCUCUUCUGUGUCCACACUCACUCCCUAGGGGCCUCCAUCCAGUCUCAUGGCUUCCAACCCCAUCUCUGUGCUGUGGAGUCCCUGAACUCUGCACUUACUUAUCCAGCUGUGGUCACCCUCAGCUGGGUGGGGACAGUCACCUCCAAACCAGCACGUCCAGAACAAAACUCCUCGUGUCUGCCUGGCAUCCUCUGUAUUUGUCAGGGUCCUCCAGAGAAACAGAACCAAUAGGCUGUGCAUAUAUAGAGAAGGAGACUUGUUAUGAGGAAUUGGCUCACGUGAUUGCGGGGACUGGCAAGUCUGAAAUCUGCAGGGUGGGCCAGCAGGCUGGAGACCCAGGAGAUACAAUGCUGUGGCCCCAGUGGGAAGGCAUCUGCUAUAGAACCAAGGAGGGCUGAUGUUGCAAAUAAAGCCCAAAGACAAUCCCCUGGAGAAACCUUUCUUGCUCAGGGGAGGACGGAUGUUAGGGACUGAA